RNAcentral lists this ribosomal RNA (459 nucleotides) under uncultured bacterium. RNAcentral describes it as "partial 16S ribosomal RNA". It matches the Rfam family "Bacterial small subunit ribosomal RNA", at positions 338 to 795 of the family's 1533-position model. The record is from RNAcentral.
CCUACGGGAGGCAGCAGUGAGGAAUAUUGGUCAAUGGGCGGAAGCCUGAACCAGCCAAGUCGCGUGAGGGAAGACGGCCCUACGGGUUGUAAACCUCUUUUGUCGGGGAGCAAGGUCCGGGUCGAGACCCGCUCUGGGAGUAACUCAGGGAAAAGGAUCGGCUAACGCCGUGCCAGCCGCCGCGGUAAUACGGGGGCUUGGAGCGUUAUCCGGAUUUAUUGGGGUUAAAGGGUGCGCUGGCGGGGGUUUAAGUCAGCGGUAAAAGAUCGGGGCUCAACCCCGUUCCGCCGUUGAAACUGGGUGCCUUGAGUGGGCGAAGGGUAGGCGGAAUGCGUGGUGUAGCGGUGAAAUGCAUAGAUAUCACGCAGAACCCCGAUCGCGAAGGCAGCCUACCGGCGCGCAACUGACGCUGAGGCACGAAAGUGCGGGGAUCGAACAGGAUUAGAUACCCUGGUAGUC